UCUUAACCUGCUAAUUAGCGGCAAAUACGAUAUAUUCUUACGUGGAAUUGCAUACUUAUGGUUUGUCUCUAUUGAGCUGCAUAAUAAUGAAGGAUCGUGAUUGCUUUUCGUGUCAAUCUUUCUUAAUCGAAUCGUUGAUGUGUUUUGUAUAUCUCGUUCUUUCAUUACCUUGCAAUCACUCAUUUGCCUUAUCAUACUGUUUCUCUUUUGCGUAAGAAUGUAUUUGCUUGAUUGUAAAGCUUCUUAGA
This 248-nucleotide ribosomal RNA is filed under the name Plasmodium sp. RNAcentral describes it as "partial small subunit ribosomal RNA". Lineage: Eukaryota; Apicomplexa; Aconoidasida; Haemosporida; Plasmodiidae. The record is from RNAcentral.